UACCUCGGUCGGUCAAACAUU
Molecule: non-coding RNA, 21 nt
Filed under: Caenorhabditis elegans
Lineage: Eukaryota; Metazoa; Nematoda; Chromadorea; Rhabditida; Rhabditidae
Source: RNAcentral